CGUGAAGAUCCUGAGGAGCAGCCCAGUCCGCCCACACAACAGACUGAGAGUGGUGCGCGGCAGUGAGCUCCAGGUCAUAAAAACGGAGCUGACGCAGAUCAAGGACAACAUCGAGGCUCUGCUGGGACGCCUGGACACUCUGGAGGACCACACUGCAGUAACAGAUACAAGGAAAGGGGAGGGGCCUCUGUCGGAAGGGGCGUGGCCUGAGGAGGAAGAGGAGGAGUCGGAAUCAGAGCUCGUGGAUGUGAGACAAAACAGUGAAGAGGAGGAAGAAGACGAAGUGGAGAUGGAUCAAGCAGACAACACGCAGCAGCACAACAGAGAAACAACAUGGUACACCACACGACUCCAUGAUUU
Molecule: long non-coding RNA, 360 nt
Filed under: Neogobius melanostomus (round goby)
Lineage: Eukaryota; Metazoa; Chordata; Actinopteri; Gobiiformes; Gobiidae
Description: lncRNA (ENSNMLG00000010734.1)
Source: RNAcentral